This 429-nucleotide ribosomal RNA is filed under the name Bacteroidota bacterium. RNAcentral describes it as "Bacteroidetes bacterium partial 16S ribosomal RNA". It matches the Rfam family "Bacterial small subunit ribosomal RNA", at positions 355 to 776 of the family's 1533-position model. The record is from RNAcentral. Lineage: Bacteria; Pseudomonadati; Bacteroidota.
UAGGGAAUCUUCCGCAAUGGACGCAAGUCUGACGGAGCAACGCCGCGUGAGUGAAGAAGGAUUUCGGUUCGUAAAACUCUGUUGUUAGAGAAGAACAGCGCAUAGAGUAACUGUUAUGCGUGUGACGGUAUCUAACCAGAAAGCCACGGCUAACUACGUGCCAGCAGCCGCGGUAAUACGUAGGUGGCAAGCGUUGUCCGGAUUUAUUGGGCGUAAAGCGAGCGCAGGCGGUCAAUUAAGUCUGAUGUGAAAGCCCCCGGCUCAACCGGGGAGGGUCAUUGGAAACUGGUUGACUUGAGUGCAGAAGAGGAGAGUGGAAUUCCAUGUGUAGCGGUGAAAUGCGUAGAUAUAUGGAGGAACACCAGUGGCGAAGGCGACUCGCUGGUCUGUAACUGACGCUGAGGUUCGAAAGCGUGGGUAGCAAACAGG